This 251-nucleotide ribosomal RNA is filed under the name uncultured bacterium. Its description in RNAcentral is "partial 16S ribosomal RNA". The record is from RNAcentral.
CUGCUGCCUUCCGUAGGAGUUUGGGCCGUGUCUCAGUCCCAAUGUGGCCGGUCACCCUCUCAGGUCGGCUACUGAUCGUUGCCUUGGUGAGCCGUUACCUCUCCAACUAGCUAAUCAGACGCGGAUCCAUCUCAUACCACCUCAGUUUUUCACACCAAACCAUGCGGUUUUGUGCGCUUAUGCGGUAUUAGCAGUCAUUUCUAACUGUUAUCCCCCUGUAUGAGGCAGGUUACCCACGCGUUACUCACCCG